UACGUAGGAUGCGAGCGUUAUCCGGAUUUAUUGGGUUUAAAGGGUGCGUAGGCGGACUGUCAAGUCAGCGGUAAAAUUGAGAGGCUCAACCUCUUCCCGCCGUUGAAACUGGUGGUCUUGAGUGGAUGAGAAGUACGCGGAAUGCGUGGUGUAGCGGUGAAAUGCAUAGAUAUCGCGCAGAACUCCGAUUGCGAAGGCAGCGUACCGGCAUCCAACUGACGCUGAGGCACGAAAGCGUGGGGAUCAAACAGG
RNAcentral lists this ribosomal RNA (252 nucleotides) under uncultured bacterium. Its description in RNAcentral is "partial 16S ribosomal RNA". It matches the Rfam family "Bacterial small subunit ribosomal RNA", at positions 524 to 776 of the family's 1533-position model. The record is from RNAcentral.